CCUACGGGUGACAGCAGUAGGGAAUAUUGCUCAAUGGGGGAAACCCUGAAGCAGCAACGCCGCGUGGAGGAUGAAGGUUUUCGGAUUGUAAACUCCUUUUGUUAGAGAAGAGAAUGACGGUAUCUAACGAAUAAGCACCGGCUAACUCCGUGCCAGCAGCCGCGGUAAUACGGAGGGGGCAAGCGUUACUCGGAAUCACUGGGCGUAAAGGGCGCGUAGGCGGGAUAGCAAGUCAGAUGUGAAAUCCUAUGGCUUAACCAUAGAACUGCAUUUGAAACUGUUAUUCUAGAGUAUGGGAGAGGUAGGUGGAAUUCUUGGUGUAGAGGUGAAAUCCGUAGAGAUCAAGAGGAAUACUCAUUGCGAAGGCGACCUGCUAGAACAUAACUGACGCUGAUGCGCGAAAGCGUGGGGAGCAAACAGGAUUAGAUACCCUAGUAGUC
This 440-nucleotide ribosomal RNA is filed under the name uncultured bacterium. RNAcentral's name for it is "partial 16S ribosomal RNA". It matches the Rfam family "Bacterial small subunit ribosomal RNA", at positions 338 to 795 of the family's 1533-position model. The record is from RNAcentral.